Long non-coding RNA from Arabidopsis thaliana (thale cress), 309 nucleotides. RefSeq annotates it as other RNA. Lineage: Eukaryota; Viridiplantae; Streptophyta; Magnoliopsida; Brassicales; Brassicaceae. The transcript has a single exon. The record is from RefSeq.
AUAAAUUAGGGUGGUAAGAUACGGUUUUUUUUUACUCCCUGUUUUUUUUUUGCAUAAUCGUUUCGUAAUUGAAGAAAUUUUUUUUGAGUAUUAUAUUAUACUCCGUAUUAAGGGAAAAUUUAAUGAUACCGACAGCUUUUGACGGAUUCAAUACUUUCAUGCUAAGUUUUGUUUUCGAAUCUUUUAUAUUUGUGAUUAGUUUUUUUUGUGAGGGGCUACGUAAGCAGUUACGUUCGACGAAAAAAAAAAAAAAAAAAACAGCAAUUACGUUCACAAGUACUGUGGAAGAAACGGGUCUCUCUAUCCGGA